UGGGGAAUUUUGGACAAUGGGCGCAAGCCUGAUCCAGCCAUGCCGCGUGCGGGAAGAAGGCCUUCGGGUUGUAAACCGCUUUUGUCAGGGAAGAAAAGGUUCUGGCUAAUACCUGGGACUCAUGACGGUACCUGAAGAAUAAGCACCGGCUAACUACGUGCCAGCAGCCGCGGUAAUACGUAGGGUGCAAGCGUUAAUCGGAAUUACUGGGCGUAAAGCGUGCGCAGGCGGUUAUGCAAGACAGAGGUGAAAUCCCCGGGCUCAACCUGGGAACUGCCUUUGGGACUGCAUGGCUAGAGUACGGUAGAGGGGGAUGGAAUUCCGCGUGUAGCAGUGAAAUGCGUAGAUAUGCGGAGGAACACCGAUGGCGAAGGCAAUCCCCUGGACCUGUACUGACGCUCAGGCACGAAAGCGUGGGGAGCAAACAGG
RNAcentral lists this ribosomal RNA (429 nucleotides) under Acidobacteriota bacterium. RNAcentral describes it as "Acidobacteria bacterium partial 16S ribosomal RNA". It matches the Rfam family "Bacterial small subunit ribosomal RNA", at positions 355 to 776 of the family's 1533-position model. Lineage: Bacteria; Pseudomonadati; Acidobacteriota. The record is from RNAcentral.